UGGACAUGACGUUUAACGGAA
This is a non-coding RNA of Caenorhabditis elegans, 21 nucleotides long. Lineage: Eukaryota; Metazoa; Nematoda; Chromadorea; Rhabditida; Rhabditidae. The record is from Ensembl.